UACGUAGGUGGCAAGCGUUGUCCGAAUUUACUGGGCGUAAAGAGCGCGCAGGCGGUCGUUCAAGUCGCGUGUGAAAGCCCCCGGCUCAACUGGGGAGGGUCACGCGAUACUGAUCGACUGGAAGGCAGGAGAGGGUAGUGGAAUUCCCGGUGUAGUGGUGAAAUGCGUAGAUAUCGGGAGGAACACCAGUGGCGAAGGCGACUACCUGGCCUGUUCUUGACGCUGAGGCGCGAAAGCUAGGGGAGCAAACGGG
RNAcentral lists this ribosomal RNA (253 nucleotides) under uncultured bacterium. RNAcentral describes it as "partial 16S ribosomal RNA". It matches the Rfam family "Bacterial small subunit ribosomal RNA", at positions 524 to 776 of the family's 1533-position model. The record is from RNAcentral.